AGAUACUGAUAUCACACAAGUAUGUAGCUGUCAAACCUGCUCAUCUUUGGGGAUUCAUAUUGCAUUUUUUACAAAUUGAAGGUGUGUGACAACCCUGCAUCAGGCAUUUUCCCAACAGCACUGUUUUUAAAUUAAGAAAGACCAGCAGUCUUGUUAAUAGAGCCAUGUUCCUGUUUCCAAGACCCAGCACAACCCAGAAUUAAAGAGAUUAUUUUGAAGGUGAUUACAGUCCUUCCAACAAUAUUUUCCCUUCAAAAGAAAAUGACUUCUGAACAAAAUUACAACCAAGUGCUGAACAACCUUCAACCAAAUGGACUGGAAACUUUCAAAAAGAUAUCCUACUCCAGAAGACAAAGAAGAGGCCAUAUCAAGACGGUAGGAGGGGUGAUUAUGUGAUAUAAGCAACCACAUACCCCCCUGGUAGGAAGCCCACAGACUGGAAAUUAUCACAGAGACUCACCUAUAGGAGUGAGAGUUCUGAGCCCCAUGUCAGGUCACCAGGCCUGGAGAUCUGGGACUGGGAGAAAGAGCACCCAGAGCAUCUGGCAUUGAAGGCCAGUAGGGCUUGUGUGCAGGAGCACCACGGUACUGGGGGAAAAGGAGACCCCAUUUUUGAAAAGUGUACACAGGCUUUCAUGUGCACUGGGUCCCAGGGCAAAACAGAGGCUCCAUAGGAAUCUGGGUUGGACCUGACUGCAGUUCUUGGAGGAUCUCCUGGGAAAACAGGGGGUGAUUGUGGCUCAUUGUGGGGGAAGGACAUUGGAAGCAAAGAUACUCACCAGCAUGUGUUCCUCUAGAGGUGGUCAUUUUGGGAAAAUCUAACCCCACCCAUCAGUGCAGAGAAGCCCCAGACCAAACAAUAAUCCAGGUGAGAUCACAGACCCACCCAUUACUAAACAGGCUGCCUAAAUACCCCCACCCCCAGGCACAGCAGCCUCUAAUCUCACCCAGAGAAAAAGCCCCACCCACCAGAGGGAUAGGAAUCAGACCCAAAAACCAGUGGGCAGGCACCAGUCCCUCCCAUCAGGAAGCCUACAGCAAGCCCCUGUACCAACUUCAGCCACAAGGAGGGCAGACAUCAGAAGAGAGGCUAUAACUCUAUUUUCUGCAAAAAGGAGACAACACCAAAAACCUAUAAAAAUGAAAAGGCAGAGAACCAUAAUUCAGAUAAAGGAGCAAGGAAAAAAACCCAGAAAAACAGCUAAGUAAUCUGGAGAUUAUCAGCCUCCAGGAAAAAAAAAAAGACUUUAGGCUGAUGAUGCUAAAGAUGAUGCAAGACAUUGGAAAUAAAUUGGAGCCAAAGACUGAUAAUGUACAGGAAACACUGAGCAAAGAAAUAUGAGAUUUAAAACUUAAGCAAGCAGAGAUGUAAAAUACAAUAACUGAAAUAAAAAAAUUCAUUAGAAGCAACCAGUAGCAAAAUACAGGAGGCAGAAGAACAAAUAAGCAAGGUGGAGGACAGACUAGUGGAAAUCACUGAUGCAGUACAGAAAA
This 1494-nucleotide long non-coding RNA is filed under the name Sus scrofa (pig). Its description in RNAcentral is "lncRNA (ENSSSCG00015021809.1)". Lineage: Eukaryota; Metazoa; Chordata; Mammalia; Artiodactyla; Suidae. The record is from RNAcentral.